UGGAGCCCCCGCCCCCUCCCGGGGUCUCUGUGGAGUCGCGGACGCGCCGGCUUUGAGCAUCCCUGGCGGGCCAAGGGGAGGCCUUGGGGCUGCGGCUUCCGCGGCCGCGGCCCCGCCCGCCUUCGACAUGGCCAGCUCCGGAGAGGACACGUCCAACGAGGGCGACGCGCCCCCUGCAGCAGCCACUAUGGCGGUGGGCGCCCACCUUCUCGGCUUCUCGGAUGAGAUCCUCCUACACAUCCUGAGCCACGUGCCCAGCACAGACCUGGUUCUGAACGUCCGGCGAACCUGCCGGAAGCUUGCAGUCCUGUGCCUGGACAAGAGCCUUACCCACACUGUGCUGCUGCAGAAGGACUAUGAGGCGAGCGAGGACAAGGUGAAGCAGGUGGUGAAGGAGAUCGGCCGCGAGAUCCAGCAGCUCAACAUGGCCGGCUGCUACUGGCUGUCGGGCGCCACCAUCGAGCACGUCGCCCGCUGCCGCGGCCUGGUGAAGGUCAACCUGUCGGGCUGCCACCUGACCUCCGUGCGCCUCUCCAAGAUGCUGUCGGCCCUGCAGCACCUGCGCUCCCUGGCCAUCGACGUGAGCCCCGGCUUCGAUGCCGGCCAGCUGAGCGGCGAGUGCAAGGCCACGCUGAGCCGCGUGCGGGAGCUCAAGCAGACGCUGUACACGCCCUCGUACGGCGUGGUGCCCUGCUGCACCAGCCUCGAGAAGCUGCUGCUCUACUUCGAGAUCCUCGACCGCACGCGGGAGGGCGCCGUCCUGUCGGGCCAGCUCAUGGUGGGCCAGAGCAACGUGCCCCACUACCAGAACCUGCGGGUGUUCUACGCGCGCCUGGCGCCCGGCUACAUCAACCAGGAGGUGGUGCGGCUCUACCUGGCCGUGCUCAGCGACCGCACGCCUGAGAACCUCCACGCCUUCCUCAUCUCCGUGCCCGGCAGCUUCGCGGAGAGCGGGGCCACCAAGAACCUCCUGGACUCCAUGGCCCGCAACGUCGCGCUGGACGCCCUGCAGCUGCCCAAGUCCUGGCUCAACGGCUCGUCCCUCCUCCAGCACAUGAAGUUCAACAACCCCUUCUACUUCAGCUUCAGCCGCUGCGCCCUGUCCGGCGGCCACCUGAUCCAGCGGGUCAUCAACGGCGGGAGGGACCUGCGGAGCCUGGCCAGCCUGAACCUCAGCGGCUGCGUGCACUGCCUGUCCCCGGACUCGCUGCUCCGCAAGGCGGAGGACGAUAUCGACAGCGGCAUCCUGGAGACGCUCGUGGCGUCCUGCCACAACCUGCAGCACCUCAACCUGUCGGCCGCCCACCACCACAGCGCCGACGGCCCGGGCCGCCACCUCUGCCAGCUGCUGGCCCGGCUGCGCCGCCUGCGCUCCCUGUCCCUGCCCGUGUGCUCCGUGGCCGAGGCGGCGCCGCGGGCCGACCGCGCCCCGGCCCAGCCCGCCCCGCACGCCGUGCCCCGCGGCUUCGGCAAGAAGGUGCGCAUCGGCGUGCAGUCGUACUCCGGCCCCCUCCCGGGGCAGGCGGCCCCCCAGCCCUCCUCCGUGUUCUGGGCUCUGCUGAAGAACGUGCCCUUUCUGGAACGCCUCGAGCUCAUCGGGUCCAGCUUCUCCUCUGCCAUGCCGCGCAACGAGCCCGCCAUCCGCAACUCCCUCCCGCCCUGCAGCCGGGCGCAGAGCGUCGGGGACUCGGAGGUGGCCGCCGUCGGCCAGCUGGCCUUCCUGAGGCACCUGACGCUGGCCCAGCUGCCCGGCAUCCUGACGGGCUCCGGGCUGGUCAGCAUCGGCCUGCAGUGCCAGCAGCUGCAGUCCCUGUCGCUGGCCAACCUGGGCCUGAUGGGGAAGGUGGUCUACACGUCCGCCCUCUCGGACAUGCUGAAGCAUUGCAAGCGGCUGAAGGACCUCAGGCUGGAGCAGCCCUACUUCAGCGCCAACGCCCAGUUCUUCCAGGCGCUGAGCCAGUGCUCCGCGCUGCAGCGCCUCUGCCUGGUGUCCCGCAGCGGCACCCUCCAGCCCGAGGCCGUGCUGGCCUUCAUGGCGCGCUGCCUGCACGUCGUCGUGUGUCACAUGUUCACCGGGGAGUCCCUGGCCACCUGCAAGAGCCUGCAGCAGUCCCUGCUCCGGAGACCGAGACCCUACCUGGUCUGGCCCCUGUGCUGCUCCGGGGCCCCCUGUGCCUCCUUGUCCUGUGCUCGCCACACUUAACGGUUCUUUGCUGACCAACUGUCCCACUCCCUGGACUGUGAGCUCCCUGAGGGCAGGACUCUGGGCCACCCUGUUUCCCACUUGACCGGGGACCCUUUGGACCAGUGUGUCUCUGACCCGGGCACAGACGCAGAGGACAGAUGGCGUGUGGAAGCAGCAGCAAGAACACCUAUUGGAGCACUCAGAGAUUGGGGGUGUGUAUGUGUGUGUCAGAAACCAGAAGACUCCGAGGGAGAUGGGAAUGAUUCUCCAGGUGCGUCCUGAGCCAGAACCUACAGCAGGUAUGGGGCACCCACGGCCAGCUCUCUUGAACUCCCGACCCGGCCCCCUCCAACCCUGGAAUGUGGAAUGUGCUCCCUACCCCAGGUCAAAAGGACUCCCACCGACCUCUGACCUCUGUCGCCCGCCCCUGGGGGAUUGAUGAGGAAGGGCUGUAAAGGGGGCGGCAGGGUGGCUUAGCGUGGUUCCCUUGGUUCUCUGUUCUCAUGGCUGGUCAGUCAGGCCUGGGGCCCCCCAUUUGUAUCCCAUCUCCUUGCCUGGCUUAGAUGGCUGCCACUUCUUAGCCGUGGGAGCUCGUCCCUACUCCUUGGGGUUCUCAUCUGUUAAAUGGGCACUACGGUACCAAAGUCAGAGGGGCUGUCAAAGCUGGCAUGACGCAGGGGCCAGUUUGCAUCAAAAGAAAUCUCCGAACUGGAAAAGAAGCAAACUGGGAGUUUUCUGCCACGGAAGGGGAUGGGCGGGCCUGGGUCUGCAGGGGCAGAGCGGGUCAGGGUAGCAGGAGGGGACAGAGGUACCUCUGGGGUCAGGGCUGCGGUGGAAAUUUGCUCCUGAGAUGUGGACGCACACAGGCCCGCCGGGGAGGUGCCUGGGGCGGGCUUCAGAGGCCCCAACACAGCUGGAGACUGGCAACCGAAGUGAACCCCUAAAGACCAGGCAGGAGGCAGCCCCCGCCCCCCAGGGCUCUGACUCCCCUCCACACGCGCUGCCAAGCCCUCCAUUAGUCACCCUGGCACUGACAUACAUAAAUCCAUUAGUCACACCCGCACAAACUUGCCUGCAGACUACACCCAGGCACACCCAGACAAAGGAGGCCCCCAAAGAUGCCUUGUUCAUCCUAGAACAGUGCCUAAAACAGUGUGGGCGCCCACGCAAUUAAUGGGCAGGCGGUCAGCCUCCCCCAAAGCAACCAGCACCCACAAUAACCCCUGCCAACCAGGCGCUUCCAGCCCCCCCAGAUAACCACCGCCCCCCAAUUCCAAACCUUCCCCCUACCCUCUGAGCACACAAGUACCACAAUAACCGCCCACAAAUGCCCUUGGCCAUCCCUCUUCCGCCUCUCUCUGGAGGGGGGGGGGGCGCGGCUGGCCCCGUGGCCCUCUCCCCACCGCUGUCCUCGGAGGGGUCUGAGCAGGAAAACCACUCCCCAAGGUCAGCAGAGCUCUUCAGCAGGCGGCCCCGGGAGCUGAUUUAUUGGCGGUUUAUUUGGAGAAACGCUAUCGCUCUCGGAUUCCGGAGGGGGGGAAAAAAACACGCUCGUGGUGGACUUUAACCUUGGGCUGAAACCGCAGAGCUUUGUUUUCGGAGACGCUUCCUGGGGCGCCUCGGCGGGGGCCGGGGCCGAGGCGGGGAGGCACGGCCGGAAUGCGGCUGGGCAGCCUCAUCCGCUCCCGGGCGGCGGGGCGAGCGCUCGAAUUCCUCCGGGCCCUGCCGAAGCCCUCGCGAUCCUUCCGAAUGUGCUUCUAGAAAUUCUAGGAAGGAGCGAAGCUCCCACAGUAAGAUCGUUUCGGGCCGGGCCGAGGUUUCCAAACCUUCCACCUCCGGCAUCUGCCCCGGGGCCGUUGCAGUUGUGUCACUGGCACGGUGAGGGGGAGGUGCCUACGAGGGGGUGAAGGCCUCCCCCUCUCUCGGCUGUCCCCACCGAAGUCCCGAGCAAAGAGCAAAGACCAUUUGGAGGUGAUUGUCCCUGAUCUGGCGCGUGGCCUGCUCUGCUCGGCUGAUGCGAGGUACCCGCCAGAAGGCUUGUUCCCCGCCCCUCUGGCAAAGAGACAAACAAUGCUGGUGACAUUAAGAGUUAUUAUCGUAAAUUCACCUUCUCUGGGUCUGCCCUCCGGGUGCUCCGUGACUGCUCAGGUAGAAAGACCACCACCCCUACCAGGCUGCCACCAGCGCUCCACCAAUUCCUGCUUUCCCGAUGGUUCGGCUAUAGACGCCAAAGCUGGUGGCGGAUAGGGGUGCCGACUGGGAGGCGAAAAGUCCAGGGUAUCCCUGGCAUAAAGGGAGAAAUGGGCUGGCGCGGGGUGGGGAGGUACACGAGCCCCCCCUCCGGGCCCGGCUACCGCAGACACCCUGCUUGGUCCUCAUCCCGCAUGCACACACACACACACACACACACACACACACAAGCCCACCUCCCCUAUAUCGUGCGCCUGCAGAGGACUCUUGAGGGCAGAACGAUGGCGUGGGAUUAAAGCAGGGUCUUCGGAGAGGAGCAUGCUGGCUGAGAUCUGAAAAGGCACUCUGAUCCUAACCCUGGCGUCACCCCUUAACGGUGCGGGAGUUGGGCUCAAGCCGGUGGCCGUGUGCCCAUUCCAGCCUCAACGAACCUUCCUAGGAGUAAGUGCCUGGCCCUGGUACCCCUACCCCAGGCGGAGAUCCAGUGAGGCCCGGGCAGCCUCAGGGUCCAGCAACCUCGGGGAUGGAAGGCGGUGGCACAGAACGGGGCGAGGCUGUUCCCUCUCUUUGGCGAAUGGGGACGCUCCGGCCUUGACUCCCCGCGCCGCUCCAGGGAACCCCAGGCCAUGGCGGGGAGAGCAGGGCGCCCAGUGCAGCCCGGGAUGCCAGGGCGGCCAGGAGCACCGGCGUGUGAGCGACGGGAAGGAGGUCCCGCAUGAAGAUUUAUGACCGCAUCCGGCCCCCUGUGCACCGAGCACGUCUCCGACCUCUCCGAGACAAACAGUGGAAUGGAAGACCCGACCCGGGCCGGGGAAAGCGGCCAGGGCCGGAGGCGGAGCCGAGACGCGCCGGGAUCCUCCGGGCCGAGCCUGCUGCUUCAGCCCUGGCUCUGCCCACCCAGCGCUCUUGUCCCUGCCGCGUUCGGGCUUGGGCGCCGCGUCCUUGGUCUUCCUGGAGGGUCGGGACCCCUCUUGGCUGGGCUGGCUGAACCUCGGCUCGGCGCCGAAUAGUGGCUGAGCCAGUCGCAGCACCAGAGGGAUGGCGAGAAUGCAUGUCCCGGGCGCAGCCUCUCCGGGUUUUCGCGGUGCCCGGGCCGGGAGCUCCCUGGUUGCCAGACCCGGGACCUGGAAAACUGGCGCUUUUAAGCCCCAGAUCCGUCCAGGGCUUCCCGAGCUGGUGGCAGAGGCCGGCGAACGCCCGAGGUCCCUUUCACCAAGCAGCUGGCACAGCGAGGGAACUGAGGUCCCCACCGGGAAGGCGGUUUGGGGAGACGGGUGGUGGUGGCUCAUAUGUCUUCGCCUACGAAAGGAUGCCCAUUUUCUUCCCGGGAAGGGUAAGGGGAGAAUGUAUUCAGGCGGCCAGCAACACCAGGGUUCCAGAAAGAGUCGGGUUCAGCCCUGAAAAGAACAGAGUUGACCAAGGCGCGGGGCUGUGCCUCCGCGACAAAGGCGCGGCCGAGGAGAACCGGACUCAAAGUUGGCCUGUCCUUUGGUUUUAAAACAAAGGGGAAUAAUAAUUUUGUCAGUGGGGCCUCGUGCACGGAGCCGGAGGCCUAGAACACACAAAAGGCCUCGGCUCCGGCGGCCCAGGCUGGCCGUGGACAAGAGCGCGGGCCUGGGCAGGCUCUCCGGGAACUGAGGUUCAAGUUGCGAGGAGGUCCCCCCUCCAGCCGAUUUUCCGCCCAGUCAGUACAAAACACACACACACACACACACACACACUGCGUCAACACACUUUUUGGCCAAGGAUCCCGCCGGGUAAACACAAGUAUGUGGCGGGGGGGUGGGGGGAGAAGGGGGAGGCGGAAGAUGGCGGCCAGACCCGGGCGGACCGCGGACCGGGCGCCUCCUACCCGCCCCGCGCAGGGCGCCCGGCCGGGCUUUGACAUCUCAGUGUGGUCCGCCGGAGCGGGCAGGGUGCUUCCGCAGACCCCGAAGCUUGGCAAGGGAUUCCCCAGAGGUGCCCGACGACCGGCGGCGGGGGUCUGCGACGGAGCCCGGCUGCGCCCACCACUCGGCCUGGGAUCCGUCCCCACCCCCCCCACCCCCGCCCCAAGAUGGCUCCCGGCCGCUGUUUACCCAGCGACUGCGGGGGCGCCGGGGCGCGGGGCCCGGCGGGCGGGGGCGAGGGGGCGGCAAAGACAAGGGCGCGCACCGAUCGGCCGGGGCGGGCGGCUCCUCGGCGGGGCCCGCUGCGCCCCCACGAACGCCGCGCUCGGAGAGCCGGCGCUGGCAGGCCGUCCUGCGCACCCCGCGGCCAGGACCCGGGAGCAGCUGCCUCCGUGUCCCCAGGCCCGGCGCCCGGCCGGGCUCCGGAGGCGACCCGCGCGGCCGCGGGUGUGAGUGUGUGCCGGGAGGGCGGCGCGAGGGGGCUGGGGCCCACAAAGGCCCAGGAGGAGGGGGCAGGCGGAGGGGGGGGGGUCUCGCCUGCCCCGAACCUCGACCCUAAUGAAAUGCAGGCUCGGAUCGCCACGCAGAGAAAGGCACAUACUUGGAAAAUGCAAACGCCAUUGGCAAAUGCAGGGCAAACAGGCAGAAUUUUUAUUAGCAACUAAAUGAUUUAUGGCACACAUACCCCGCCAUCACAAUUACGGCGUCUUGGAGCAUCCAGGGGUGAAAACAUUAAACAUUUAUAAAAAUCGGC
Molecule: RNA transcript, 7018 nt
Organism: Leopardus geoffroyi (Geoffroy's cat)
Lineage: Eukaryota; Metazoa; Chordata; Mammalia; Carnivora; Felidae
Gene: FBXL18
Gene name: F-box and leucine rich repeat protein 18
Exons: 6
Source: RefSeq, a predicted model, not a curated record